AAAACUCAUGCCAAUAAUAAAAAAAGUCAAAAUAUUAGCAAAAAUAGUAACUAUGAUAGUAUAAACGUACAAGAAAGGAGCAUAAGUAACACUACACCGAACAUUAAGGUUUAUAAAAAAAAUUGUAUAAGUAACGACGUCUAUAAUAAACGUACCGAAAACUGUGACAAACGUAACGAAAGCUGUGAUAAAUGUAACGACGUAACUGUUUUGAGUGAAAGAAAAAAGCUGUCCGACAUCGUUUGCAUUAGUAAUAACACGUUUGCUGUAAACAAAUGUAGUAAAACUUAUGACAUCGAAAAAGAAAAACAUUACAAAGAUGAUAGUAUUAAAAAAGAAAGUAAUUCAUUAGUUAAAAUGUUAGAACAUAAAAUAAAUAUAAAAGAGAAAGAUCUUGGUUCAUUAAGUGAAAAGGUGAAUGAAAAAAUUAACACAAACAUUAACAGAGUUGAAAAAAAAGAUAAAAUUGAGGUCAAACAAAGGGGUAUGACUUAUAGUGAUAGUUGUGUAAGUACUAACAACCAUGUUAGUAACAACCAAAACACCAGUGAAAAUAAAAACAAAACCGCUUCUGAUUGUAACAAAAAUUAUGAUACAAUAAAAAAUCAUACUAAUGAUUAUAAAACAGAUAACAAUAAACAUAUAAACAUAGAAAAACGUUCCAAUAUAAAUGAAAUAUUAACAAAUGAACCCAAUUUGAACAAAACAGCUACAGCAUUAUUAGAAGAAAACGAAAUGAAAACAUUAAAAGAAAAAAUUGUUAAUAAGGAUUACGCAUCAAAUGAUGAUAAUGAAUCGGGUGGUAAAUUAACAGAAGCAAAUUAUAAUACUGAUAAUAAAAUAAAAAAUGUUAUUCAAAAAAAUAUAAGUUAUGAUAAGAUAAAUACAAAAACAGAUAUAAUAUAUACACAUAACAAUGAAAAUGUAAAAAAUGAUACUACUUAUAAACGUGUUUUAACAAAUAAAGUAAUGUAUUCGCCUAAUAAUCAUUCAAAUGAGUUAGGUGGUUAUUCAAACGAGUCAGUCAUGCAAUCAAACGUGCCAGUCAUGCAAUCAAACGUGCCAGUCAUGCAAUCAAACGAGUCAGUCAUGCAAUCAAACGAGUCAGUCGUCCAAUCAAACGAGUGUAACAAACAUAAUCAACAGAGCGAAAGAAUUUAUAAACAC
RNAcentral lists this long non-coding RNA (1167 nucleotides) under Piliocolobus tephrosceles (Ugandan red Colobus). Its description in RNAcentral is "lncRNA (ENSPTEG00000018188.1)". Lineage: Eukaryota; Metazoa; Chordata; Mammalia; Primates; Cercopithecidae. The record is from RNAcentral.